Molecule: ribosomal RNA, 163 nt
Filed under: uncultured bacterium
Lineage: Bacteria
Description: partial 16S rRNA
Rfam family: Bacterial small subunit ribosomal RNA
Source: RNAcentral
UAGGGAAUCUUCGGCAAUGGACGAAAGUCUGACCGAGCAACGCCGCGUGAGUGAAGAAGGUUUUCGGAUCGUAAAACUCUGUUGUUAGAGAAGAACAAGGAUGAGAGUAACUGUUCAUCCCUUGACGGUAUCUAACCAGAAAGCCACGGCUAACUACGUGCAG